This 588-nucleotide long non-coding RNA is filed under the name Erythranthe guttata (spotted monkey flower). Its description in RNAcentral is "long non-coding RNA (EGUT_LNC003087)". The record is from RNAcentral. Lineage: Eukaryota; Viridiplantae; Streptophyta; Magnoliopsida; Lamiales; Phrymaceae.
CGAACAUAUUUCUUAGUAGCUUCUUCAAACUCCUAAGUUAAGUAUUAUAUAGUCAAAAAUCAGCAAGCUAAAAAUACAAAUAAAACAUACAUAAAUAUUCUAAAAACAAAUUUGCUUCAAACAACAACAAGAAAAUGAAACCGAAAUGGAGUGUUUUUAGGCCUCGAAACAUAAUAAAUAGCGGGCAAAUUCAAGAGAGAAGAAGAAAAUACCAAACAACAAAAUAUAUAGCCGCCACACCACACCAUUACCAUCCCCACCUUCAUAUUCCGACGGUUGUAAGAUUUACAAAUAAUGUAAAUCACACGACGAAGACGAAGAGUUCUACUCUCCCAAAGGCUCCCUAAACGGCAGGGAAAGUUCUUUUGGCAAUGGAUCAGCUUCCAGAAGGGCGUUUGCUGCGAUAGAAGAGGAGAAUUUCAAUGCGCCCGCUUCGAGUUCCUCAUCAACUUCUUCAUCUUCCCUUUCCGAUCCAGAUCCAGGUCCGGGUCUCCCGCAAGGUCCGUUUCGUUGAGUCUUUCCCCAAUGUAUCAUCACCCACGAUUUCGAAGAAGUCCGCCGUGUCGGAAAAGUAAGGAGAGAAAAAAA